CACGGAGUUAGCCGGUGCUUAUUCAUCGAGUACCGUCAAGUAAGUUAGAAAACCUACAUUUCGUCUUCGAUAAAAGAAGUUUACAAUCCAGAGGACAUUCAUCCUUCACGCGGCAUGGCUGGUUCAGACUUGCGUCCAUUGACCAAUAUUCCUUACUGCUGCCUCCCGUAGGAGUCGGGCCCGUGUCUCAGUGCCCGUGUGGCUGAUCAUGCUCUCACAUCAGCUAAUGAUCGUAGGCUUGGUGGGCCGUUACCCCGCCAACUACCUAAUCAUACGCACACCCAUCUUUAAGUGAUAAAUCUUUAAUAAUAAUUUGAUGCCAAACCAUUAUGCUAUGGGGUAUUACUCCAAAUUUCUCUGGGCUAUUCCCCGCUUAAAGGAAGGUUGUGUACGUGUUCCGCACCCGUUUGCCGGUCGCCGCCAAUCUAUUGCUAGACCGCGCUGCCCCUCGACUUGCAUGUAUUAAGCCUGCCGCUAGCGUUCAUCCUGAGCCAGGAUAC
RNAcentral lists this ribosomal RNA (500 nucleotides) under uncultured Filimonas sp. Its description in RNAcentral is "partial 16S ribosomal RNA". Lineage: Bacteria; Pseudomonadati; Bacteroidota; Chitinophagia; Chitinophagales; Chitinophagaceae. The record is from RNAcentral.